AUUGAACGCUGGCGGCAGGCUUAACACAUGCAAGUCGAGCGGGGUGAUGGUGCUUGCACUAUCACUUAGCGGCGGACGGGUGAGUAAUGCUUAGGAAUCUGCCUAUUAGUGGGGGACAACAUCUCGAAAGGGAUGCUAAUACCGCAUACGUCCUACGGGAGAAAGCAGGGGAUCACUUGUGACCUUGCGCUAAUAGAUGAGCCUAAGUCGGAUUAGCUAGUUGGUGGGGUAAAGGCCUACCAAGGCGACGAUCUGUAGCGGGUCUGAGAGGAUGAUCCGCCACACUGGGACUGAGACACGGCCCAGCGUCCUACGGGAGGCAGCAGUGGAGAAUAUUGGACAAUGGGGGGAACCCUGAUCCAGCCAUGCCGCGUGUGUGAAGAAGGCCUUAUGGUUGUAAAGCACUUUAAGCGAGGAGGAGGCUACUCUAGUUAAUACCUAGGGAUAGUGGACGUUACUCGCAGAAUAAGCACCGGCUAACUCUGUGCCAGCCGCCGCGGUAA
RNAcentral lists this ribosomal RNA (503 nucleotides) under uncultured bacterium. RNAcentral's name for it is "partial 16S ribosomal RNA". It matches the Rfam family "Bacterial small subunit ribosomal RNA", at positions 30 to 523 of the family's 1533-position model. The record is from RNAcentral.